GCUGGCGGCGUGCUUAACACAUGCAAGUCGAGUGCGCAGUCUUCUGUAGCAAUACAGGAGAUCGGCGCACGGCGCACGGGUGCGUAACACGUGGGUAACCUGCCCUCCAAAGGGGGAUAACCCCGCGAAAGCGGGGCUAAUACCGCAUGACAUUCCGGUGACCUCGGUCGCUGGAAUCAAAGCCCGCAAGGGCGUUGGGGGAGGGGCCCGCGGCCGAUUAGCUUGUUGGCGAGGUAACGGCUCACCAAGGCUUUGAUCGGUAGCCGGUCUGAGAGGAUGGCCGGCCACACUGGAACUGAGACACGGUCCAGACUCCUACGGGAGGCAGCAGUGGGGAAUCUUGCGCAAUGGGCGAAAGCCUGACGCAGCGACGCCGCGUGGGGGAUGAAGCUUUUCGGAGUGUAAACCCCUUUCGACCCGGACGAAACGCCCGCAAGGGCUUGACGGUACGGGUAUAAGAAGCCCCGGCUAACUACGUGCCAGCAGCCGCGGUAAGACGUAGGGGGCCAGCGUUGCUCGGAAUUACUGGGCGUAAAGGGUUCGUAGGCGGUGCGGUAAGUCGGAAGUGAAAUCUCUGGGCUUAACUCAGAGGCUGCUUUCGAAACUGCCGUGCUGGAGUGCGGGAGA
RNAcentral lists this ribosomal RNA (627 nucleotides) under uncultured soil bacterium. RNAcentral describes it as "bacterial SSU rRNA". It matches the Rfam family "Bacterial small subunit ribosomal RNA", at positions 35 to 655 of the family's 1533-position model. The record is from RNAcentral.